AUGCAGUCGAGCGGACAGAAGGGAGCUUGCUCCCGGAUGUUAGCGGCGGACGGGUGAGUAACACGUGGGUAACCUGCCUGUAAGACUGGGAUAACUCCGGGAAACCGGAGCUAAUACCGGAUAGUUCCUUGAACCGCAUGGUUCAAGGAUGAAAGACGGUUUCGGCUGUCACUUACAGAUGGACCCGCGGCGCAUUAGCUAGUUGGUGAGGUAACGGCUCACCAAGGCAACGAUGCGUAGCCGACCUGAGAGGGUGAUCGGCCACACUGGGACUGAGACACGGCCCAGACUCCUACGGGAGGCAGCAGUAGGGAAUCUUCCGCAAUGGACGAAAGUCUGACGGAGCAACGCCGCGUGAGUGAUGAAGGUUUUCGGAUCGUAAAGCUCUGUUGUUAGGGAAGAACAAGUGCAAGAGUAACUGCUUGCACCUUGACGGUACCUAACCAGAAAGCCACGGCUAACUACGUGCCAGCAGCCGCGGUAAUACGUAGGUGGCAAGCGUUGUCCGGAAUUAUUGGGCGUAAAGGGCUCGCAGGCGGUUUCUUAAGUCUGAUGUGAAAGCCCCCGGCUCAACCGGGGAGGGUCAUUGGAAACUGGGAAACUUGAGUGCAGAAGAGGAGAGUGGAAUUCCACGUGUAGCGGUGAAAUGCGUAGAGAUGUGGAGGAACACCAGUGGCGAAGGCGACUCUCUGGUCUGUAACUGACGCUGAGGAGCGAAAGCGUGGGGAGCGAACAGGAUUAGAUACCCUGGUAGUCCACGCCGUAAACGAUGAGUGCUAAGUGUUA
RNAcentral lists this ribosomal RNA (786 nucleotides) under Bacillus sp. MJ214. Its description in RNAcentral is "bacterial SSU rRNA". It matches the Rfam family "Bacterial small subunit ribosomal RNA", at positions 55 to 825 of the family's 1533-position model. The record is from RNAcentral. Lineage: Bacteria; Bacillati; Bacillota; Bacilli; Caryophanales; Bacillaceae.